CUGUUAUAUAGAGCUGUGGAGACCGGUCAUCAGUCUGUUAUAUAGAGCUAUGGAGACAGGUCAUCAGUCUGUUAUAUAGAGCUAUGGAGACAGGUCAUCAGUCUGUUAUAUAGAGCUAUGGAGACAGGUCAUCAGUCUGUUAUAUAGAGCUAUGGAGACAGGUCAUCAGUCUGUUAUAUAGAUCUAUGGAGACAGGUCAUCGGUCUGUUAUAUAGAGCUAUGGAGACAGGUCAUCAGUCUGUUAUAUAGAGCUAUGGAGACAGGUCAUCAGUCUGUUAUAUAGAGCUAUGGAGACAGGUCAUUAGUCUGUUAUAUAGAGCUAUGGAGACAGGUCAUCAGUCUGUUAUAUAGAGCUAUGGAGACAGGUCAUCAGUCUGUUAUAUAGAGCUAUGGAGACAGGUCAUCAGUCUGUUAUAUAGAGCUAUGGAGACAGGUCAUCAGUCUGUUAUAUAGAGCUAUGGAGACAGGUCAUCAGUCUGUUAUAUAGAGCUAUGGAGACAGGUCAUCAGUCUGUUAUAUAGAGCUAUGGAGACAGGUCAUCAGUCUGUUAUAUAGAGCUAUGGAGACAGGUCAUUAGUCUGUUAUAUAGAGCUAUGGAGACAGGUCAUCAGUCUGUUAUAUAGAGCUAUGGAGACAGGUCAUUAGUCUGUUAUAUAGAGCUAUGGAGACAGGUCAUCAGUCUGUUAUAUAGAGCUAUGGAGACAGGUCAUCAGUCUGUAAUAUAGAGCUAUGGAGACAGGUCAUCAGUCUGUUAUAUAGAGCUAUGGAGACAGGUCAUCAGUCUGUUAUAUAGAUCUAUGGAGACAGGUCAUCAGUCUGUUAUAUAGAGCUAUGGAGACAGGUCAUCAGGAGACAGGUC
Molecule: non-coding RNA, 859 nt
Organism: Oncorhynchus mykiss (rainbow trout)
Lineage: Eukaryota; Metazoa; Chordata; Actinopteri; Salmoniformes; Salmonidae
Source: RefSeq, a predicted model, not a curated record